This 895-nucleotide ribosomal RNA is filed under the name uncultured Alkalibacterium sp. RNAcentral's name for it is "bacterial SSU rRNA". It matches the Rfam family "Bacterial small subunit ribosomal RNA", at positions 487 to 1396 of the family's 1533-position model. Lineage: Bacteria; Bacillati; Bacillota; Bacilli; Lactobacillales; Carnobacteriaceae. The record is from RNAcentral.
AAAGUCACGGCUAACUACGUGCCAGCAGCCGCGGUAAUACGUAGGUGACAAGCGUGUCCGGAUUUAUUGGGCGUAAAGCGAGCGCAGGCGGCUCUUUAAGUCUGAUGUGAAAGCCACGGCUUAACCGUGGAAGGUCAUUGGAAACUGGAGAGCUUGAAUGUAGAAGAGGAAAGUGAAUUCCAUGUGUAGCGGUGGAAUGCGUAGAUAUAUGGAGGAACACCAGUGGCGAAGGCGAUUUCUGGUCUAUUAUUGACGCUGAGGCUCGAAAGCGUGGGGAGCGAACAGGAUUAGAUACCUGGUAGUCCACGCCGUAAACGAUGAGUGCUAAGUGUUGGAGGGUUUCCGCCCUUCAGUGUGGAGCAAACGCAUUAAGCACUCCGCCUGGGGAUUACGGCCGCAAGGCUGAAACUCAAAAAAUUGACGGGGACCCGCACAAGCGGUGGAGCAUGUGGUUUAAUUCGAAGCAACGCGAAGACCUUACCAGCUCUUGACAUCUUCUGCCAACCCUAGAGAUAGGGCGUUCCCUUCGGGGACAAAUGACAGGUGGUGCAUGGUUGUCGUCAGCUCGUGUCGUGAGAUGUUGGGUUAAGUCCCGAACGAGCGCAACCCUUAUUGUUAGUUGCCAGCAUUUAGUUGGGCACUCUAGCGAGACUGCGGUGAUAAACCGGAGGAAGGCGGGGAUGACGUCAAAUCAUCAUGCCCCUUAUGAGCUGGGUACACACGUGCUACAAUGGAUGGUACAACGAGUUGCGAGACCGCGAGGUUUAGCUAAUCUCUAAAGCCAUUCUCAGUUCGGAUUGCAGGCUGCAACUCGCCUGCAUGAAGUCGGAAUCGCAGUAAUCGCGGAUCAGAAUGCCGCGGUGAAUUCGUUCCCGGGUCUUGCACUCACCGCCCG